RNAcentral lists this transfer RNA (69 nucleotides) under Ictidomys tridecemlineatus (thirteen-lined ground squirrel). Its description in RNAcentral is "Spermophilus tridecemlineatus (thirteen-lined ground squirrel) tRNA". It matches the Rfam family "tRNA". From Rfam's summary of the family: Transfer RNA (tRNA) molecules are approximately 80 nucleotides in length. Their secondary structure includes four short double-helical elements and three loops (D, anti-codon, and T loops). Further hydrogen bonds mediate the characteristic L-shaped molecular structure. tRNAs have two regions of fundamental functional importance: the anti-codon, which is responsible for specific mRNA codon recognition, and the 3' end, to which the tRNAs corresponding amino acid is attached (by aminoacyl-tRNA synthetases). tRNAs cope with the degeneracy of the genetic code in two manners: having more than one tRNA (with a specific anti-codon) for a particular amino acid; and 'wobble' base-pairing, i.e. permitting non-standard base-pairing at the 3rd anti-codon position. The record is from Rfam by way of RNAcentral. Lineage: Eukaryota; Metazoa; Chordata; Mammalia; Rodentia; Sciuridae. RNAcentral also lists the same sequence under 1 other name.
GGGGUUGUGGCUCAGUGGCAGAGCACUUGCCUACCAUGUGUGAGGCACUGGGUUCAAUUCUCAGCACCA